RNAcentral lists this long non-coding RNA (207 nucleotides) under Vigna radiata. RNAcentral describes it as "long non-coding RNA (VRAD_LNC009763)". Lineage: Eukaryota; Viridiplantae; Streptophyta; Magnoliopsida; Fabales; Fabaceae. The record is from RNAcentral.
UUUCACACGUUGUUCAGCAUUGUGAAAUUACUUUUCACCAUUUGGGUCAGGAGAAAUUAACCUGAAUGAUAAACUUGGUUGGCAACUUGAUUGUAUUAACCCUCUUUGUGAUCAAUCUGGCUAAGGGAAAUCUUUCGUUAAUGGUCCAUGAUCUUAGGCCUCUCUUCGAACUCUGUAGCUCGCCCUUUGUUCAACAACAUACUCUUU